RNAcentral lists this long non-coding RNA (3332 nucleotides) under Sus scrofa (pig). RNAcentral's name for it is "lncRNA (ENSSSCG00065062573.1)". Lineage: Eukaryota; Metazoa; Chordata; Mammalia; Artiodactyla; Suidae. The record is from RNAcentral.
AAGACCAGUUCUAAGGGAUUUCCCUAGUUCAUUCCUGAUCUUUCUUUUCCUAACUCUCGUCUCCAUUUAAGACUUUAAGUCUUUUUUUCUAAAUUUAUUUAUUUAUUUAUUUCCUUUUUAUUUAUUUAUUUAUUUUUCCUGCUCUACAGCUUGGGGACCAAGUUACACAUACAUGUAUACAUACUUUUUCCUCCCAUUGUUGUGUUUCAAUGUAAGUAUCAAGACAUAGUUCCCAAGACUACAUGGCAGGAUCUCAUUGUAAAUCCAUCUCUUAAAGUCUUAAAUUCUCCAGCCAUUAAGUCUUCUCCCAAUAGGGUGUUCCGGAAUCUGAACCUAGUGGCCCAGAAGGAACGCCCAGUAUGUGUGUUAUAAGGUGGAGUGAUGUGUGUGUCUGCAGGUUUGUACCAGAGCCAGCAGUAAGGACUGGAAAGGGCAAGACUUUGCACGACGUCUUUUCAACAAUCCAGCGAAACCAGGAGAGGGAGUUCCAGUUGUGGCUCAGUGGUAACGAACCGGACUAGUACCCAUGAGGAUGCAAGUUUGAUCCUUGGCCCCAUUCAGUGGGUUAAGGAUCUGGUGUUCCCAUGAGUGGUGUGGGUCGCAGAUGUGGCUGGGAUCCCGAGUUGCUGUGGCUCUGGUGUAGGCCAGUGGCUACUGCUCUGAUUAGACCCCUAGCCUGGGAACCUCCAUAUGCCAUGAGUGGGGCCCUAAAAAGCAAAAAAUGAAACAAAACAAAACAAAAACCAAACCAAAACAAACGAACAGAACAGGAGAGAAGGGGGUACCUGCUGUGACCCAGAAUCCCUCUCAUGCUGUGGUCCUCUUCCUCCACCUCUUAUGUGGUGUGGGUUAAGGGGAGAAUUGUCACAGGAUAUCACCCUACUGUCCCAUCUUCCCUGUGCUCCUAUCCCCACCCAACUCCAAAUACUUCUCUAAGCCACUCAAACCCACAGGAGUAGGAAAGGGGUGCGUUGUUUGGGGGAGGGGCAGUCCCACGUGCCCCAUCUGGGGGAAAGGGCUGACUUUUUGGACCUGAGCCUAAGCGCUUUCUGUCCAUGCCAAGGGCUGCCUCCUGCAUCUGGGCCUGUGGGGUUAGAAGAGCUGCCAAAAUCCUGAACUGGGCAAUGACAGUGGACAGCCUAGAUCUUGGCCACUGACUCUGCCUCAGCCCUAGGGUCAUUCGGGACGUCUCUGGAGUUCCUUCCCCCCGCCAGGCCCUGGAACAGCCAUCCAGGCUCUGAAGUAGACUUGAGAAAGGCAUAAAGAAACCCCACAAGUCCCCUGUUUCAACCUAAAAGCCCUUCCAGGGGCAGGAACCCCAAGUGAGUGAAAAAGUACAAUUCACCAUUAAGCGGGAGUGUGGAGAAUCCCAUCCAGGGCUGUUUCUGGAUGGGACUUGCCCCCAACACUUGCAGUGCAGCCAACAGGAGUUGUUUGUUUGCAGGUGGUAUUUGUCCUUAAAAGACGAAGCCUGAAACCCUUUGCCUCCUUGUUCCAGAGAUCCAUUCGGCCCUAAACAGCCAGCCUUCCUUCCAGGAUUGCCUGUAGCCCUGAGCAACAGGUGGCUUAUUUCAGGCUGAAGGACAAGAGGCCUACUACCCCUGUGCCAAGGACGUCCCGCGGGGUCCUCACCUUUGAGCCCCGCCCACCAACCAAUGAGGACUCACAGAGGUGACGUCACUACAUCCUGUUUCCCAGCCCAGCCGGGAGCAUGGGACCCGGUGGGGAAAAGAGCCAAUGUAAAUGACGGAUGCCACGACCAUGUUGGUAAAGACGUGGAAGGCAAAUGAGUCAGCAGCAAGUUUAAGCAACGAACAAUUGCACCACGGGGUGUUUCUCAAAUUCUUGUCUACUUUUAGAAAGUAUGCAAUGCCAUCCGGUUGAGCGUCUUGGUUCUGAAAUAGCUACAGAAAAUGUUAAAAAUGCUGUGGGUGAAGAUGUGCCCACAUGUAUCGCUCUUCUAAAACAAUAGUUAACAAUGGCACAGCGUGUCCUCGGCACAUCUUUUCAUCUUGCUGUACCUUAGUUUCCUCACCCGGAACAUGAGCGGAAUGUGUGCACAUUGUCUUGGGAGAUUCCUUUCGGUCUGACGGUCCAUGAUAUGGUAUCAUGCUCACAGUCUUAAUACUCAGACUGGGUCUACACAGUGCCAAGACCACUAGCCAGUUCAGUGAGUGUGGACAAAAUGUUCUCUCCAAUCAAUUCCUUGGCACCAUGUGGCUAAAACAGCCAGGCCUAUGUGUGAAUAGAGAUGGUGGGAGUAUAAGAAAAAGGACAACUCAUUAUUGAUGUUUCAGAUGCCGUCAUGUUAUGGAUGACACUGGCAGGGACCCCAAGGGAUGAGACCUAUCUCUGCUGGAGAACGUUGGGCAUCUUAAUAGAUAAGAUAAUGAAGCGAAGCCUUAACAGCAAACACUCAUUAAACUUUAACGAUUUCUAUCUACCCUCGUCCCACAAGCAGCUUCCACACAUGCCUCUGCGCAGCUGUGGCCUCAGGACUGAGGCGCAGUGUAGACCGUGUUCAUCGGAACGGCGUUGGAUGACUUUAUUGACCAACUCGGCUCAGCUUUUCUAAGGGGAAAAGCUCUGUUCGUACCAAAGGCUUCUCCAGGCCCUUCCCCAACACCUCUGAUUAAACAGGCUGAGCUCCCCAGAGAACAAUCCGCACCAGGAUGCAGCGAAGCCCAGCAGUGGUCUUUCCUGAUGCUCUGGUCCUCCUCGCCCUGCCCGCUGACGGAUGACUCCGCUCCGUGACUUUACUGAACUCCAGUUCGCCCACCUCCCCACACUCGUGUCCUCAGCUGUAAGCAGGCGCACUUGUGACCUGGGAGAGAACCCAAACCAACACCGACCCUGACCCCUGACAGGAGUGUUAGACUCGCAGCAGAGUCAGAUGGGAGCUGCAGGGCAAGGCUCCCCUUACAUGUGGUCUGAACCCAGGGGAGUUCACCUCACUGAGUUAAACUCGAUGCGCUGUGACUGCCGGGCCAUGGUGCUUUGUAUCUGACUCCCAAGGGACUCUCCCUCAAGUGACUGCAAGCUCCUUGGGCACUUUUCUAUUUUGGCAUCCCCUGGGAUCAUGCAGAGCACAGAGGGAUGCUCAGGCAGAAAGCACCUUGUGUCUCUGUGUCACCUUUUGGUUAAAAGGACUUUAAAAGUCAUGUUCUGGGAUGGCCUGCUUUGUACCUACCAGAGAGCAGGGUUUGCAGAGUCAGGCAACUUUAGGGGUCUGCUUACACUCUAACCUGAUCAGGGACCUGGUUGCUAAGCGACCUUUCAAUGGAGAUUAGUGAUAACAAACUCAGCAAAGAGCUGAGGCUUGAGAAAGGAAU